GACGAACGCUGGCGGCGUGCUCAACACAUGCAAGUCGAGCGGUAAGGCCCUUUCGGGGGUACACGAGCGGCGAACGGGUGAGUAACACGUGGGUGACCUGCCCUUAGCUCUGGGAUAAGCCUGGGAAACUGGGUCUAAUACCGGAUAUGACUCCAUAACGCAUGUUGUGGGGUGGAAAGCCUUGUGCGGCUAGGGAUGGGCCCGCGGCCUAUCAGCUUGUUGGUGGGGUGAUGGCCUACCAAAGGCGACGACGGGUAGCCGGCCUGAGAGGGCGACCGGCCACACUGGGACUGAGACACGGCCCAGACUCCUACGGGAGGCAGCAGUGGGGAAUCUUGCGC
RNAcentral lists this ribosomal RNA (341 nucleotides) under uncultured bacterium. RNAcentral's name for it is "bacterial SSU rRNA". It matches the Rfam family "Bacterial small subunit ribosomal RNA", at positions 28 to 369 of the family's 1533-position model. The record is from RNAcentral.